Molecule: ribosomal RNA, 463 nt
Filed under: uncultured bacterium
Lineage: Bacteria
Description: partial 16S ribosomal RNA
Rfam family: Bacterial small subunit ribosomal RNA
Source: RNAcentral
GAUGAACGCUGACAGAAUGCUUAACACAUGCAAGUCUUUGGCGAAGCUGUGCUUGCACAGCCUAGCCAAGGCGGACGGGUGAGUAACGCGUAAGGAACUUGCCCUGCAGUCAGGGAUAACAGACGGAAACGACUGAUAAGACCUGGUAAAGUCAGGCGGACUCAUGUCCAGCCUGAUGAAAAGAGAUGCUGCAGGAGAGCCUUGCGUCCUAUUAGCUUGUUGGUGGGGUAACGGCCCACCAAGGCGAUGAUAGGUAGCCGGCCUAAGAGGGUGGACGGCCACAAGGGGACUGAGAUACGGCCCUUACUCCUACGGGAGGCAGCAGUGGGGAAUAUUGGACAAUGGGGGCAACCCUGAUCCAGCAAUUCUGUGUGCACGAUGAAGGUUUUCGGAUUGUAAAGUGCUUUCAGCAGGGAAGAAAAAAAUGACGGUACCUGCAGAAGAAGCGACGGCUAAAUACGUG